Small nuclear RNA from Nerophis ophidion (straightnose pipefish), 142 nucleotides. RefSeq annotates it as U4 spliceosomal RNA. The transcript has a single exon. The record is from RefSeq and is a predicted model, not a curated record. NCBI's taxonomy places the organism in Eukaryota, Metazoa, Chordata, Actinopteri, Syngnathiformes, Syngnathidae.
GUAUGUAUGGAGUGGCAGUGUCAUAGCCCAUGAGGUUUAUCUGAGGUGUGAUUGUUGCUAGUUGAAAAUGUUACUCUAUAUUCUGCCUUAGUGACUGGAAAUAUAGUCAGCUUUUGGCAAUUGUCGAUAGUCUCCAUUGAGA